CGCGCAGGCGGUUUCUUAAGUCUGUCUUAAAAGUGCGGGGCUUAACCCCGUGAGGGGACGGAAACUGGGAGACUUGAGUAUCGGAGAGGAAAGCAGAAUUCCUAGUGUAGCGGUGAAAUGCGUAGAUAUUAGGAGGAAUACCAGUGGCGAAAGCGGCUUUCUGGACGACAACUGACGCUGAGGCGCGAAAGCCAGGGGAGCGAACG
This 206-nucleotide ribosomal RNA is filed under the name uncultured bacterium. Its description in RNAcentral is "partial 16S ribosomal RNA". It matches the Rfam family "Bacterial small subunit ribosomal RNA", at positions 568 to 774 of the family's 1533-position model. The record is from RNAcentral.